CGGGGCGUCAANGAGGGNGAGAAUCCCGNACGCGAUUGCCAGCCAACCCGAUGUGAGGCCCUUUCGACGAGUCGAGUUGUUUGGGAAUGCAGCUCAAAAUGGGUGGUAAAUUUCAUCUAAAGCUAAAUACCGGCCAGAGACCGAUAGCGCACAAGUAGAGUGAUCGAAAGAUGAAAAGCACUUUGGAAAGAGAGUUAAAAAGCAUGUGAAAUUGUUGAAGGGGAAGCGCUUGCAACCAGACUUGCCCGCGGGUGAUCAACCUCUUUCUUUCGAGAAUUGGUGUACUCAUCCACGAACAGGCCANCAUCGGUUUUGACCGUCGGAUGAAGGUUGAAGGAAUGUAGCUUCCUCCGGGGAGUGUUAUAGCCUUGAACGUAAUGCGACGAGUGGGGACCGAGGACCGCACCCUUAUGAGUUAGGAUGCUGGCAUAAUGGUUGCUAGCGACCCGUCUUGAAACACGGACCAAGGAGUCGACCAACCAUGCGAGUGUUUGGGCAUUAAACCCACACGCGUAAUGAAAGUGAACGGAGGUGGGAACCCCUUUGGGGUGCACCAUCGACCGAUCCUGAUGUCUUCGGAUGGAUUUGAGUAUGAGCNUUUUUGGUCGGACCCGAAAGGUACGUACCAUUUUUCCUAUGAAAAGCGACAAGAUAGCUAAUUUUUAUGCUACAGAUGGUGAACUAUGCCUGAGUAGGGUGAAGUCAGGGGAAACCCNGAUGGAGGCUCNCAGCGGUUCUGACNUGCAAUCGAUCGUCAAACUUGNGNAUAGGGGCGAAAGUAAGUGGAGAUAGCUCUAAUUAUCGCUGU
Molecule: ribosomal RNA, 808 nt
Filed under: Gyalecta jenensis
Lineage: Eukaryota; Fungi; Ascomycota; Lecanoromycetes; Ostropales; Gyalectaceae
Description: eukaryotic LSU rRNA
Rfam family: Eukaryotic large subunit ribosomal RNA
Source: RNAcentral